UACGGAGGGUGCAAGCGUUAUCCGGAUUCACUGGGUUUAAAGGGUGCGUAGGUGGGCAGGUAAGUCAGUGGUGAAAUCUCUGGGCUUAACCCAGAAACUGCCGUUGAUACUAUUUGUCUUGAAUAUCCUGGAGGUAGGCGGAAUAUGUCAUGUAGCGGUGAAAUGCUUAGAUAUGACAUAGAACACCGAUAGCGAAGGCAGCUUACUACAGGAUGAUUGACGCUGAGGCACGAAAGCGUGGGGAGCAAACAGG
Molecule: ribosomal RNA, 253 nt
Filed under: uncultured bacterium
Lineage: Bacteria
Description: partial 16S ribosomal RNA
Rfam family: Bacterial small subunit ribosomal RNA
Source: RNAcentral